AUCUUGUUGACAAUCUGUUUAAACAAUUCUAUGAAAAUUUUACAUACAUAGUUAUUAUCUGGUAACUAUAUUUCAUCCAUAUUUUAACUUCCACAAACUGCACCUUGAAAUACAUAUAUAGUUUGGAAGAGAUCAGAAGACAAACAGCAAACUCUUUAUAAAGCCAUAUUCAAUUGAAGUCAAAAUAAUUCAGAGAUCAAUGAUGAUAAAGUGUAAUAGGUGACACAAUGUUCUUGUAUGUAC
RNAcentral lists this long non-coding RNA (243 nucleotides) under Mytilus galloprovincialis (Mediterranean mussel). The record is from RNAcentral. Lineage: Eukaryota; Metazoa; Mollusca; Bivalvia; Mytilida; Mytilidae.